This is a long non-coding RNA of Arabidopsis thaliana (thale cress), 714 nucleotides long. RefSeq annotates it as other RNA. The record is from RefSeq. The transcript has a single exon. NCBI's taxonomy places the organism in Eukaryota, Viridiplantae, Streptophyta, Magnoliopsida, Brassicales, Brassicaceae.
GUAAAGCCAAGCAUCACUAGUCUAUGCUACUACAUCAGAGUAACUGAUAAGUGGGAACAAUUGUAUUCCAACAAAAAAUGAAAUGGAUGAAUCAAGAGAGAUUGUAUUACCAGAUUUAGGGGUGAUCCAAGCGCAUCUUUUACGACCGUCACAGAAGCAAUCACUAGCCUUCUCAUCUCUCUCCUCCGUCAGAUUUCUUCUCAGUGAAGAGGAAGAAGAAACUGACCCACUUCGCCGCAAAACCCUCUUUCCACUCGAAGUAGACGUCAUACUUAACGGCGACGACUCGCAAGAAGACGACGCAUCUGAAGAAUACGAAGCAGUCAUCGAAAUACCAUUACGUCUCAGAAUUGGAGGGCUUAGAGGCGAGCAUUGCGGCAUUUUCUCCGUAAAGGUUAGGUUUUUGGUUUUCUCAGCCACAGGCUUCUUCACCGGCUUUGACAACGGUUUCUGCUGCAGCUUAUUGCCGGCGGGACCAAGAACUGAUCUGAAUUCUCGGUCGGAUGAAUCCACAGACCGAACUCGCGGUGGAGCCGACAUUGACCUAAAAGUCUCCGAAUAUCGAAAAUGCCUUACUUCACUUAAAAACACACUGGAUCACGACGACUAAUGAAUUGCAAUUCCCCAAAAGAAAAAAUCUCAAACCAAUUCCAAAAGAUUUACACCAAUUUCGAUAAACCCUAGAAAGAAAGGACCUGCAUUUACAAACUUAAA